This 72-nucleotide transfer RNA is filed under the name Marmota monax (woodchuck). RNAcentral describes it as "tRNA.Ala". It matches the Rfam family "tRNA". Rfam says of the family: Transfer RNA (tRNA) molecules are approximately 80 nucleotides in length. Their secondary structure includes four short double-helical elements and three loops (D, anti-codon, and T loops). The record is from RNAcentral. Lineage: Eukaryota; Metazoa; Chordata; Mammalia; Rodentia; Sciuridae.
AGGGGUGUAGCUCAGUGGUAGAGUGCAUGCUUAGCGUGCAUGAGGCCCUAAGUUCAAUCCUCAGCACCAAAA